CUGCAGUGUCAUGGCACUCCAGCGCUGGGAGAGAGGAACAGAGGAGGAUAUGUGAUGACCUCAUCCACACACCCACACACUGCCAGUGACACAAACCCAGGAAAAGACCGAAAAAAGGAAGGAGGUGGAGGAGGAUGAUGAGGGGGAGAAAGAAGUCUGGAAACGACUCCAUCAGCACUCUGUGUGCAGGGUGUGGCUGCACCACCAGUCCUCUGAGGG
Molecule: long non-coding RNA, 219 nt
Organism: Solea senegalensis (Senegalese sole)
Lineage: Eukaryota; Metazoa; Chordata; Actinopteri; Pleuronectiformes; Soleidae
Exons: 3
Source: RefSeq, a predicted model, not a curated record